Molecule: ribosomal RNA, 347 nt
Filed under: uncultured bacterium
Lineage: Bacteria
Description: partial 16S ribosomal RNA
Rfam family: Bacterial small subunit ribosomal RNA
Source: RNAcentral
CCUACGGGUGGCAGCAGUGAGGAAUAUUGGUCGAUGGACGCAAGUCUGAACCAGCCAUGCCGCGUGCAGGAAGACGGCUCUAUGAGGUGUAAACUGCUUUUGUACGAGGGUAAACGCAGAUACGCGUAUCUGUCUGAAAGUAACGUACGAAUAAGGAUCGGAUAACGCCGUGCCAGCAGCCGCGGUAAUACGGAGGAUUCAAGCGUUAUCCGGAUUUAUUGGGGUUAAAGGGUGCGUAGGCGGUCGGAUAAGUUAGAGGUGAAAUCCCGAGGCUCAACUUCGGAAUUGCCUCUGUUACUGUUCGGCUCGCGUGUAGUUGCGGUAGGCGGAAUGUCUGGUGUAGCGGU